AUUGAACGCUGGCGGCAUGCCUUACACAUGCAAGUCGAACGGCAGCACGGGAGCAAUCCUGGUGGCGAGUGGCGAACGGGUGAGUAAUAUAUCGGAACGUGCCCAGUCGUGGGGAUAACGUAGCGAAAGCUACGCUAAUACCGCAUACGAUCUAUGGAUGAAAGCGGGGGAUCGCAAGACCUCGCGCGAUUGGAGCGGCCGAUAUCAGAUUAGGUAGUUGGUGAGGUAAAGGCUCACCAAGCCGACGAUCUGUAGCUGGUCUGAGAGGACGACCAGCCACACUGGGACUGAGACACGGCCCAGACUCCUACGGGAGGCAGCAGUGGGGAAUUUUGGACAAUGGGCGCAAGCCUGAUCCAGCAAUGCCGUGUGCAGGAUGAAGGCCUGGUGUAACUGCUUUGUACGG
RNAcentral lists this ribosomal RNA (406 nucleotides) under uncultured bacterium. RNAcentral describes it as "bacterial SSU rRNA". It matches the Rfam family "Bacterial small subunit ribosomal RNA", at positions 30 to 442 of the family's 1533-position model. The record is from RNAcentral.